GUGGGGAAUCUUGCGCAAUGGGCGAAAGCCUGACGCAGCCAUGCCGCGUGAAUGAUGAAGGUCUUAGGAUUGUAAAAUUCUUUCACCGGGGACGAUAAUGACGGUACCCGGAGAAGAAGCUCCGGCUAACUUCGUGCCAGCAGCCGCGGUAAUACGAAGGGGGCUAGCGUUGCUCGGAAUUACUGGGCGUAAAGGGCGCGUAGGCGGACAGCUUAGUCAGAGGUGAAAGCCCAGGGCUCAACCUUGGAAUUGCCUUUGAUACUGGCUGUCUUGAGUUUGGGAGAGGUGAGUGGAACCCCGAGUGUAGAGGUGAAAUUCGUAGAUAUUCGGAAGAACACCAGUGGCGAAGGCGACUCACUGGCCCAAUACUGACGCUGAGGCGCGAAAGCGUGGGGAGCAAACAGGAUUAGAUACCCUAGUAGUCC
This 425-nucleotide ribosomal RNA is filed under the name uncultured bacterium. RNAcentral describes it as "partial 16S ribosomal RNA". It matches the Rfam family "Bacterial small subunit ribosomal RNA", at positions 354 to 796 of the family's 1533-position model. The record is from RNAcentral.